AGCGAACGCUGGCGGCAGGCUUAACACAUGCAAGUCGAGCGGGCACUUCGGUGUCAGCGGCAGACGGGUGAGUAACACGUGGGAACGCACCCUUCGGUUCGGAAUAACGCUGGGAAACUAGCGCUAAUACCGGAUACGCCCUUUUGGGGAAAGGUUUACUGCCGAAGGAUCGGCCCGCGUCUGAUUAGCUAGUUGGUGGGGUAAUGGCCUACCAAGGCGACGAUCAGUAGCUGGUCUGAGAGGAUGAUCAGCCACACUGGGACUGAGACACGGCCCAGACUCCUACGGGAGGCAGCAGUGGGGAAUAUUGGACAAUGGGCGCAAGCCUGAUCCAGCCAUGCCGCGUGAGUGAUGAAGGCCUUAGGGUUGUAAAGCUCUUUUGUCCGGGACGAUAAUGACGGUACCGGAAGAAUAAGCCCCGGCUAACUUCGUG
This 433-nucleotide ribosomal RNA is filed under the name uncultured bacterium. Its description in RNAcentral is "partial 16S ribosomal RNA". It matches the Rfam family "Bacterial small subunit ribosomal RNA", at positions 29 to 507 of the family's 1533-position model. The record is from RNAcentral.